Molecule: ribosomal RNA, 345 nt
Filed under: uncultured bacterium
Lineage: Bacteria
Description: bacterial SSU rRNA
Rfam family: Bacterial small subunit ribosomal RNA
Source: RNAcentral
AAUCAACGCUGGCGGCGUGCCUCAGACAUGCAAGUCGAACGAUUAAAGCUCUCUUCGGAGAGUGUAUAGAGUGGCGCACGGGUGAGUAACACGUAAGUAAUCUACCCUCGAGUGGGGAAUAACAACCGGAAACGGUUGCUAAUACCGCAUAAUGCAGCGGCACCGCAAGGUGACAGUUGUUAAAGAUUUAUCGCUUGAGGAGGAGCUUGCGGCAGAUUAGCUAGUUGGUAGGGUAACGGCUUACCAAGGCUACGAUCUGUAACCGGUCUAAGAGGACGGUCGGUCACACUGACACUGAAUAACGGGUCAGACUCCUACGGGAGGCAGCAGUCGGGAAUUUGGUCG